RNAcentral lists this ribosomal RNA (425 nucleotides) under uncultured bacterium. Its description in RNAcentral is "bacterial SSU rRNA". It matches the Rfam family "Bacterial small subunit ribosomal RNA", at positions 354 to 796 of the family's 1533-position model. The record is from RNAcentral.
GUGGGGAAUAUUGGACAAUGGGCGCAAGCCUGAUCCAGCCAUGCCGCGUGAGUGAUGAAGGCCUUAGGGUUGUAAAGCUCUUUCAGUGGGGACGAUAAUGACGGUACCCACAGAAGAAGCCCCGGCUAACUUCGUGCCAGCAGCCGCGGUAAUACGAAGGGGGCUAGCGUUGUUCGGAUUUACUGGGCGUAAAGCGCACGUAGGCGGAUCGUUAAGUCGGGGGUGAAAUCCUGGAGCUCAACUACAGAACUGCCUUCGAUACUGGCGAUCUUGAGUCCGGAAGAGGUGAGUGGAACUCCUAGUGUAGAGGUGGAAUUCGUAGAUAUUAGGAAGAACACCAGUGGCGAAGGCGGCUCACUGGUCCGGUACUGACGCUGAGGUGCGAAAGCGUGGGGAGCAAACAGGAUUAGAAACCCUAGUAGUCC